RNAcentral lists this ribosomal RNA (207 nucleotides) under uncultured bacterium. RNAcentral describes it as "partial 16S ribosomal RNA". It matches the Rfam family "Bacterial small subunit ribosomal RNA", at positions 568 to 774 of the family's 1533-position model. The record is from RNAcentral.
UUCGUAGGCGGUCAGAAUAGUCAGGGGUGAAAUCUAUCGGCUCAACCGAUAAAUUGCCUUUGAAACUGUCUGACUUGAGUACGUGAGAGGAAAGCGGAAUUCUUGGUGUAGCGGUGAAAUGCGUGGAUAUCAAGAGGAACACCCGUGGCGAAAGCGGCUUUCUGGCACGAUACUGACGCUGAGGAACGAAAGCCAGGGGAGCAAACG